UACAGAGACUGCAAGCGUUAUUCGGAUUCACUGGGCGUAAAGGGUGCGCAGGCGGUUGGGUGUGUCAGAUGUGAAAUCCCGAGGCUCAACCUCGGAACUGCGUCUGAAACUACUCGACUAGAGUACUGGAGAGGGUAACGGAAUUCCCGGUGUAGCGGUGAAAUGUGUAGAGAUCGGGAGGAACACCGGUGGCGAAGGCGGUCUUCUGGACGGUGACUGACGCUGAGGCGCGAAAGCGUGGGGAGCAAACGGG
This 253-nucleotide ribosomal RNA is filed under the name uncultured bacterium. RNAcentral describes it as "partial 16S ribosomal RNA". It matches the Rfam family "Bacterial small subunit ribosomal RNA", at positions 524 to 776 of the family's 1533-position model. The record is from RNAcentral.